AACGAACGCUGGCGGCAUGCCUAACACAUGCAAGUCGAACGAGACCUUCGGGUCUAGUUGCGCACGGGUGAGUAACGCGGUGGAACCUGCCCUUAGGUUCGGAAGAACUCCCCGAAAGGGGUGCUAAAACCGGAUAAUGUCUUCGGACCAAAGAUUUAUCGCCUUUGGAUGGGCCCGCGUUGGAUUAGCUAGUUGGUAGGGUAAAAGCCUACCAAGGCGAUGAUCCAUAGCUGGUCUGAGAGGAUGAUCAGCCACACUGGGGCUGAGACACGGCCCAGACUCCUACGGGAGGGAGGAGUGGGGAAUAUUGGACCAGGGGCGAAAGGCUGAUACAGCCAUGACGGGUGAGUGAUGAAGGCCUUAGAGUUGUAAAGCUAUUUUACCCGGGAUGAUAAUGACGGUACCGGGAGAAUAAGCGCCGGCUAACUCCGUG
Molecule: ribosomal RNA, 433 nt
Filed under: uncultured bacterium
Lineage: Bacteria
Description: partial 16S ribosomal RNA
Rfam family: Bacterial small subunit ribosomal RNA
Source: RNAcentral